Non-coding RNA from Ochotona princeps (American pika), 105 nucleotides. NCBI's taxonomy places the organism in Eukaryota, Metazoa, Chordata, Mammalia, Lagomorpha, Ochotonidae. The record is from Rfam.
UGCUCGUGCCUGACCCAUCUGCUGGGCUGCCCUGGGCGCAUGGCUGAGAGUGGCAGAAGCACUCAACUAACCCGAAGUGACAACGUGCCUUGCGGGCCCGAUAGA